AUUCUUCUUCUCCACAUAUUAAUUUUUCUCAUCUUUACCUGAAAUCCGAGCAACAAUAUCUGCUUCUUCUCACUUUAAUCACCAUUUCCUUCAUUAGUUUCCAAUAUUUUUGCUCAUAUUUCACUUUUUGUACAAAAGAGGAAAUGAGAUAUAGUAGUCGGAUUUUUUUCCUUCAAAAUUCGAAUUUUCUCUUAACAAAGGGAAAGAUGGAGUGAGGAAGAGCACGAGAGGGGUUCCUCGAGGCCUUGAAACUUGGUGGAGGAAAAUUGAAGAGCAGCAUGUGGUUGAUUGUAGAAAAGGUUUUGCGCCAUACAAAACACAUUCACGACAAUCUGAGAGCUGCAUUUGCUUCAUACCUCAUUAACAUUUUUUUGCUCUCUUUCUGAAUUGAAGGUUUUAAUAUAUUGUCCACGUACUUGAUUUCCUAGCCAAUCUUUUAUUUUUGGGUUGUAAUAUUUUCAAUCUUUCAUGUUUUCGAACCACAACUGUCUAUCCUAAUGGACACCUGUGUUUUCUUGUGUUGUA
Molecule: long non-coding RNA, 525 nt
Organism: Salvia splendens (bonfire salvia)
Lineage: Eukaryota; Viridiplantae; Streptophyta; Magnoliopsida; Lamiales; Lamiaceae
Exons: 2
Source: RefSeq, a predicted model, not a curated record